AGGGUUUGAUUCUGGCUCAGGACGAACGCUGGCGGCGUGCUUAACACAUGCAAGUCGAACGGAGCACCCUUGACGGAGUUUUCGGACAACAGAUAGGAAUGCUUAGUGGCGGACUGGUGAGUAACGCGUGAGGAACCUGCCUUUCAGAGGGGGACAACAGUUGGAAACGACUGCUAAUACCGCAUGACGCAGCGAGGGGGCAUCCCUUUGCUGCCAAAGAUUUAUCGCUGAAAGAUGGCCUCGCGUCUGAUUAGCUUGUUGGUGAGGUAACGGCCCACCAAGGCGACGAUCAGUAGCCGGACUGAGAGGUUGGCCGGCCACAUUGGGACUGAGAUACGGCCCAG
RNAcentral lists this ribosomal RNA (344 nucleotides) under uncultured bacterium. Its description in RNAcentral is "bacterial SSU rRNA". It matches the Rfam family "Bacterial small subunit ribosomal RNA", at positions 8 to 334 of the family's 1533-position model. The record is from RNAcentral.